This 2726-nucleotide ribosomal RNA is filed under the name Salmonella enterica subsp. enterica serovar Newport str. CVM18000. RNAcentral's name for it is "bacterial LSU rRNA". It matches the Rfam family "Bacterial large subunit ribosomal RNA". Lineage: Bacteria; Pseudomonadati; Pseudomonadota; Gammaproteobacteria; Enterobacterales; Enterobacteriaceae. The record is from RNAcentral.
GGGUUGUGAGGUUAAGCGACUAAGCGUACACGGUGGAUGCCCUGGCAGUCAGAGGCGAUGAAGGNNUCGUCACACUAUCAUUAACUGAAUCCAUAGGUUAAUGAGGCGAACCGGGGGAACUGAAACAUCUAAGUACCCCGAGGAAAAGAAAUCAACCGAGAUUCCCCCAGUAGCGGCGAGCGAACGGGGAGGAGCCCAGAGCCUGAAUCAGCAUGUGUGUUAGUGGAAGCGUCUGGAAAGGCGCGCGAUACAGGGUGACAGCCCCGUACACAAAAGCGCAUGUGCUGUGAGCUCGAUGAGUAGGGCGGGACACGUGGUAUCCUGUCUGAAUAUGGGGGGACCAUCCUCCAAGGCUAAAUACUCCUGACUGACCGAUAGUGAACCAGUACCGUGAGGGAAAGGCGAAAAGAACCCCGGCGAGGGGAGUGAAAAAGAACCUGAAACCGUGUACGUACAAGCAGUGGGAGCACAGGUUUACCUGUGUGACUGCGUACCUUUUGUAUAAUGGGUCAGCGACUUAUAUUCUGUAGCAAGGUUAACCGAAUAGGGGAGCCGGAGGGAAACCGAGUCUUAAUUGGGCGUUAAGUUGCAGGGUAUAGACCCGAAACCCGGUGAUCUAGCCAUGGGCAGGUUGAAGGUUGGGUAACACUAACUGGAGGACCGAACCGACUAAUGUUGAAAAAUUAGCGGAUGACCUGUGGCUGGGGGUGAAAGGCCAAUCAAACCGGGAGAUAGCUGGUUCUCCCCGAAAGCUAUUUAGGUAGCGCCUCGUGAAUUCAUCUCCGGGGGUAGAGCACUGUUUCGGCUAGGGGGCCAUCCCGGCUUACCAACCCGAUGCAAACUGCGAAUACCGGAGAAUGUUAUCACGGGAGACACACGGCGGGUGCUAACGUCCGUCGUGAAGAGGGAAACAACCCAGACCGCCAGCUAAGGUCCCAAAGUCAUGGUUAAGUGGGAAACGAUGUGGGAAGGCCCAGACAGCCAGGAUGUUGGCUUAGAAGCAGCCAUCAUUUAAAGAAAGCGUAAUAGCUCACUGGUCGAGUCGGCCUGCGCGGAAGAUGUAACGGGGCUAAACCAUGCACCGAAGCUGCGGCAGCGANNGUUGGGUAGGGGAGCGUUCUGUAAGCCUGUGAAGGUGGCCUGUGAGGGUUGCUGGAGGUAUCAGAAGUGCGAAUGCUGACAUAAGUAACGAUAAAGCGGGUGAAAAGCCCGCUCGCCGGAAGACCAAGGGUUCCUGUCCAACGUUAAUCGGGGCAGGGUGAGUCGACCCCUAAGGCGAGGCCGAAAGGCGUAGUCGAUGGGAAACAGGUUAAUAUUCCUGUACUUGGUGUUACUGCGAAGGGGGGACGGAGAAGGCUAUGUUGGCCGGGCGACGGUUGUCCCGGUUUAAGCGUGUAGGUGUGUGUUCCAGGUAAAUCCGGUUCACUUUAACACUGAGGCGUGAUGACGAGGCACUACGGUGCUGAAGCAACAAAUGCCCUGCUUCCAGGAAAAGCCUCUAAGCAUCAGGUAACAUCAAAUCGUACCCCAAACCGACACAGGUGGUCAGGUAGAGAAUACCAAGGCGCUUGAGAGAACUCGGGUGAAGGAACUAGGCAAAAUGGUGCCGUAACUUCGGGAGAAGGCACGCUGACACGUAGGUGAAGUGAUUUACUCAUGGAGCUGAAGUCAGUCGAAGAUACCAGCUGGCUGCAACUGUUUAUUAAAAACACAGCACUGUGCAAACACGAAAGUGGACGUAUACGGUGUGACGCCUGCCCGGUGCCGGAAGGUUAAUUGAUGGGGUCAGCGCAAGCGAAGCUCCUGAUCGAAGCCCCGGUAAACGGCGGCCGUAACUAUAACGGUCCUAAGGUAGCGAAAUUCCUUGUCGGGUAAGUUCCGACCUGCACGAAUGGCGUAAUGAUGGCCAGGCUGUCUCCACCCGAGACUCAGUGAAAUUGAACUCGCUGUGAAGAUGCAGUGUACCCGCGGCAAGACGGAAAGACCCCGUGAACCUUUACUAUAGCUUGACACUGAACAUUGAGCCUUGAUGUGUAGGAUAGGUGGGAGGCUUUGAAGCGUGGACGCCAGUCUGCGUGGAGCCGACCUUGAAAUACCACCCUUUAAUGUUUGAUGUUCUAACGUGGACCCGUAAUCCGGGUUGCGGACAGUGUCUGGUGGGUAGUUUGACUGGGGCGGUCUCCUCCUAAAGAGUAACGGAGGAGCACGAAGGUUGGCUAAUCCUGGUCGGACAUCAGGAGGUUAGUGCAAUGGCAUAAGCCAGCUUGACUGCGAGCGUGACGGCGCGAGCAGGUGCGAAAGCAGGUCAUAGUGAUCCGGUGGUUCUGAAUGGAAGGGCCAUCGCUCAACGGAUAAAAGGUACUCCGGGGAUAACAGGCUGAUACCGCCCAAGAGUUCAUAUCGACGGCGGUGUUUGGCACCUCGAUGUCGGCUCAUCACAUCCUGGGGCUGAAGUAGGUCCCAAGGGUAUGGCUGUUCGCCAUUUAAAGUGGUACGCGAGCUGGGUUUAGAACGUCGUGAGACAGUUCGGUCCCUAUCUGCCGUGGGCGCUGGAGAACUGAGGGGGGCUGCUCCUAGUACGAGAGGACCGGAGUGGACGCAUCACUGGUGUUCGGGUUGUCAUGCCAAUGGCACUGCCCGGUAGCUAAAUGCGGAAGAGAUAAGUGCUGAAAGCAUCUAAGCACGAAACUUGCCCCGAGAUGAGUUCUCCCUGAGACUUCGAUUUU